ACUUACAAAGUUAGACUUUGUCGUAACGUAAAUCAAAUUUACGCUGUAUUAUUCAUUACCAAGGAUUUAGAAAGGAACGAGAACAAUUAUUUACAAAAUCUCGCUGGGAUAAAUUCCGUGAAUGUGCCCAUGAAUGGCUAAAACUUGAUGGGCGAGCGAAAUGGAUAGCUGAACAGGCGACUUCGGGUGAUAUAAUCAAACAAGGAAUUUAUCGACGCGCCAAAAGAUACUGGAUUUCACCCAACAUGCUACAGGCCUUUUACAGACAAAUUCCGAAUUGGGUCUGCCCGUAAUCGUAUAGAUAAAGAAAAAUUAAAAUCCCCGGCUACAAUCCAACCAGGGAAUAGCGGGAGUGUAGACGAUCUGGGACCUAGCUCUCCAAACAAAUUACGCUCCUGAAGCAAAAAGAAAGAGUAAAUCGGUGCUGCCUGUUGUUUGUAUUAUAUGUAAAAAACGUGACAGAUUUGUCACUGUUGGAGAAAAUAGGAAGAAGGAUGUAUUAACACAGACUCAGACCCAAACAGGCUCAGGCCAACUGUUGAAAGCUGCUGAAUUGAAAGAGGAUGAAGAUAUUUUAAGGCAUAUCAGAGGGCAAGAUUGUGUGGCCAUUGAGGUCAGAUAUCACCAAAAAUGUUAUAGGCAAUAUACAUGUACUGAAUUUCUUAGACAGUUAUCAGAAAGCAAAGAUGACUAGCCCUCCGUCGAAUAUUAAACCACAUACAAUAUAUUCUGUGAAGAUGUCAUAAGAGAAAGAAUCAUAAAUGGCCAGCAAAGUUGUCUUGUACAGAGAGAGAGAGAGAGAGAAAUGGGGUUUAACGUCCACUCAAUACAAACUAGGUCAUUUUGGGACUAACAUACGGUUUCAAUUUUAUUUCAAUAAUUCGCUUGCGCGUAUGGGUCUUUAGCAGUGAGAGGAAACCGGAGGAAACCCACGAGGUUGAGAAGACGCCUCUAUCUCCAUGCCACAUACGCUCACACCUGGGAUCAAAGCCACAGCCACAAGCCAGAGGUGACCGACCAGCUAGAGGUCGAAGCGCGGCACUCUAGGCCAUCCCAACCCCCCUUUCUUGUACAGACCUGUGCAUGUGUAGUCAAUGUGAAAAUGAAAAAAAAACUGUUAAAGAGACCGAAUUUGAUGUUAAUACAUUUAGUGACAGUGAUGAUGAUAAUGAAGAUUAACUUUGAUGACAUUUGAUGUGCAGAGUAACUGUUUAAUUUUGAUUUUCAAUGAUUGUUUCACUUUA
Patella vulgata (common limpet) is the source of this 1244-nucleotide long non-coding RNA. RefSeq lists it as uncharacterized. The transcript has 3 exons. The record is from RefSeq and is a predicted model, not a curated record. NCBI's taxonomy places the organism in Eukaryota, Metazoa, Mollusca, Gastropoda, Patellidae.